CAAAUUUGGGACUAAAGUCAGGGUUAGUGCACACAGCAUCUGCCAGGCAACACAAACACUAAAUCCAUCCAGCUUUUGUCCUGGUAAGAAUUCAGAAAAACUACAAAUGUGAUUGUUGCAUCACUUAAAAAAUUAGAGACCAAACUGACUUUGUGCACAAUAGAGUGAAGCAGCAGCUGCACAAGUAUGAAGUGUAUGAGUGUUCAAAGUGAACAGUAUACACUGAAAGGAGUCGAACUGACAGGUGAAGUGUGUGUGGAGGGGUUUCUGAAGCUGUUGGACCAUCUGACUUGCAGUUCUGAUGCAGUAUACUGAUGCUUUAAGCAGGGUUAUCAUAGUAAACUAAAACUAAAACUAAAAUCAGCAGUGAAAAUAUUUGUAAUAAACUGAAACUACAUAAGAACUAAAACUAAACUGGAAACUAAAACUAAAACAGUUUGAACUGCUUCAAAAACUAAUGAAUGUGAAAUAGGUUCAAUAGUAGUAGUUAGAUAGUAGGUUAAAGUAUAAGUGAUGAAAGGAGUUGAAGUGAAGGUUAAAGUGUAAGUAAUGAAAGGAGGUGAAGUGAAGGUUAAAGUGUAAGUGAUGAAAGGAGGUCAACUGUAGGUUAAGGUGUAAGAGAUGAAAGGAGGUCAAGUGUAGGUUAAAGUGUAAGAAAUGAAAGGAGGUCAAGUGUAGGUUAAAGUGUAAGAAAUGAAAGGAGGUCAAAUGUAGGUUAAAGUGUGAGUGGUGAAAGGAGGUGAAGUGGAGGCUGAAGUGUAAGUGAUGAAAGGAGGUAAAGUGGACGUUAAAGUGUAAGUGCUGAAAAGAAGUGAAGUGGAGGUUAAAGUGUACGUGAUAAAAGGAGGUGAAGUGGAGGUUAAAGUGUGUGAUGAAAGGAGGUGAAGUGGAGGUUAAAGUGUGAGUGCUGAAAGGAGAUGAAGUAGAGGUUAAAAGAGGUGAAGUGUAGGUUAAAGUGUGAGUGAUGAAAGGAGGUGAAGUGAAGGUUAAAGUGUGAGUGAUGAAAGGAGGUGAAGUGGAGGUUAAACUGCAGGUGAUGAAAGGAGGUGAAGUGGAGGUUAAAGUGUAAGUGCUGAAAAGAGGUGAAGUGGAGGUUAAAGUGUAAGUGAUAAAAGGAGGUGAAGUGGAGGUUAAAGUGUGUGAUGAAAGGAGGUGAAGUGGAGGUUAAAGUGUGAGUGCUGAAAGGAGAUGAAGUAGAGGUUAAAAGAGGUGAAGUGUAGGUUAAAGUGUGAGUGAUGAAAGGAGGUGAAGUGAAGGUUAAAGUGUGAGUGAUGAAAGGAGGUGAAGUGGAGGUUAAAGUGUAAGUGCUGAAAAGAGGUGAAGUGGAGGUUAAAGUGUAAGUGAUAAAAGGAGGUGAAGUGGAGGUUAAAGUGUGUGAUGAAAGG
Long non-coding RNA from Epinephelus fuscoguttatus (brown-marbled grouper), 1385 nucleotides. RefSeq lists it as uncharacterized. The transcript has 3 exons. The record is from RefSeq and is a predicted model, not a curated record. Lineage: Eukaryota; Metazoa; Chordata; Actinopteri; Perciformes; Serranidae.